GACGAACGCUGGCGGCGUGCUUAACACAUGCAAGUCGAACGCGCCUGUCCUCUGGGUUUCUGGGGGGUGGGUGAGUGGCGAACGGGUGAGUAACACGUGAGUAACCUGCCCCCUUCUUCGGGAUAACGGUCUGAAAGGGCUGCUAAUACCGGGUAUUCACUGGUCUCCGCAUGGGGUCUGGUGGAAAGGUUUUUUUCUGGUGGGGGUUGGGCUCGCGGCCUAUCAGCUUGUUGGUGGGGUGAUGGCCCACCAAGGCUUUGACGGGUAGCCGGCCUGAGAGGGUGAACGGUAACAUUGGGACUGAGAUACGGCCCAGACUCCUACGGGAGGCAGCAGUGGGGAAUAUUGCACAAUGGGCGCAAGCCUGAUGCAGCGACGCCGCGUGAGGGAUGGAGGCCUUCGGGUUGUGAACCUCUUUCGCCCGUGGUCAAGCCGCGACGUGGGUCGUGGUGAGGGUAGUGGGUAAAGAAGCGCCGGCUAACUACGUG
RNAcentral lists this ribosomal RNA (488 nucleotides) under uncultured bacterium. RNAcentral describes it as "partial 16S ribosomal RNA". It matches the Rfam family "Bacterial small subunit ribosomal RNA", at positions 28 to 507 of the family's 1533-position model. The record is from RNAcentral.